Molecule: ribosomal RNA, 425 nt
Filed under: uncultured bacterium
Lineage: Bacteria
Description: partial 16S ribosomal RNA
Rfam family: Bacterial small subunit ribosomal RNA
Source: RNAcentral
GUAGGGAAUCUUGCGCAAUGGGCGAAAGCCUGACGCAGCCAUGCCGCGUGAAUGAUGAAGGUCUUAGGAUUGUAAAAUUCUUUCACCGGGGACGAUAAUGACGGUACCCGGAGAAGAAGCCCCGGCUAACUUCGUGCCAGCAGCCGCGGUAAUACGAAGGGGGCUAGCGUUGCUCGGAAUUACUGGGCGUAAAGGGAGCGUAGGCGGAUAGUUUAGUCAGAGGUGAAAGCCCAGGGCUCAACCUUGGAAUUGCCUUUGAUACUGGCUGUCUUGAGUACGGGAGAGGUGAGUGGAACUCCGGGUGUAGAGGUGAAAUUCGUAGAUAUUCGGAAGAACACCAGUGGCGAAGGCGACUCACUGGCCCGUUACUGACGCUGAGGCGCGAAAGCGUGGGGAGCAAACAGGAUUAGAUACCCCUGUAGUCC